GGGGGAUCUUAGGACCUCUCGCUACAGGGGCGGCCGAUGGCAGAUUAGCUAGUUGGUGGGGUAAAGGCCUACCAAGGCGACGAUCUGUAGCUGGUCUGAGAGGACGACCAGCCACACUGGGACUGAGACACGGCCCAGACUCCUACGGGAGGCAGCAGUGGGGAAUUUUGGACAAUGGGCGCAAGCCUGAUCCAGCAAUGCCGCGUGUGUGAAGAAGGCCUUCGGGUUGUAAAGCACUUUUGUCCGGAAAGAAAACUUCCUGGUUAAUACCCGGGGAGGAUGACGGUACCGGAAGAAUAAGCACCGGCUAACUACGUGCCAGCAGCCGCGGUAAUACGUAGGGUGCAAGCGUUAAUCGGAAUUACUGGGCGUAAAGCGUGCGCAGGCGGUUCGCUAAGACAGAUGUGAAAUCCCCGGGCUUAACCUGGGAACUGCAUUUGUGACUGGC
Molecule: ribosomal RNA, 448 nt
Filed under: uncultured Burkholderia sp.
Lineage: Bacteria; Pseudomonadati; Pseudomonadota; Betaproteobacteria; Burkholderiales; Burkholderiaceae
Description: bacterial SSU rRNA
Rfam family: Bacterial small subunit ribosomal RNA
Source: RNAcentral